This 492-nucleotide ribosomal RNA is filed under the name uncultured bacterium. RNAcentral describes it as "partial 16S ribosomal RNA". It matches the Rfam family "Bacterial small subunit ribosomal RNA", at positions 29 to 507 of the family's 1533-position model. The record is from RNAcentral.
AGUGAACGCUGGCGGCAGGCCUAACACAUGCAAGUCGAACGGCAGCACAGUAAGAGCUCGCCCUUACGGGUGGCGAGUGGCGGACGGGUGAGGAAUACAUCGGAAUCCACUUUUUCGUGGGGGAUAACGUAGGGAAACUUACGCUAAUACCGCAUACGAUCUACGGGAGAAAGCAGGGGAUCUUCGGACCUUGCGCGACUGAAUGAGCCGAUGUCGGAUUAGCUAGUUGGCGGGGUAAAGGCCCACCAAGGCAACGAUCCGUAGCUGGUCUGAGAGGAUGAUCGGCCACACUGGAACUGAGACACGGUCCAGACUCCUACGGGAGGCAGCAGUGGGGAAUAUUGCGCAAUGGGCGCAAGCCUGAUCCAGCCAUGCCGCGUGAGUGAAGAAGGUCUUCGGAUCGUAAAGCCCUUUUAUUAGGGAAGAACAGCUGCGUAUUAAUCCCCCGCUGUUCUGACGGUACCCAAAGAGUAAGCCCCGGCUAACUUCGUG